CCCUUAGAUGUCCUGGGCCGCACGCGCGUUACACUGAUGCAUUCAACGAGCUUAUAACCUUGGCCGAGAGGCCUGGGAAAUCUUGUUAACGUGCAUCGUGAUAGGGAUAGAUUAUUGAAAUUAUUAAUCUUGAACGAGGAAUUCCUAGUAAACGCAGAUCAUCAAUCUGCAUUGAUUACGUCCCUGCCCUUUGUACACACCGCCCGUCGCACCUACCGAUUGGAUGGUCCGGUGAAGCCUCGGGAUUGUGGUUCUUGCCGCUUUAUUGUGGCGUGACCGCGAGAACUUGUCUAAACCUUAUCAUCUAGAGGAAGGUGAAGUCGUAACA
This 328-nucleotide ribosomal RNA is filed under the name uncultured eukaryote. Its description in RNAcentral is "partial 18S ribosomal RNA". It matches the Rfam family "Eukaryotic small subunit ribosomal RNA", at positions 1470 to 1796 of the family's 1831-position model. The record is from RNAcentral.